UACAGAGGGGGCAAGCGUUGUUCGGAAUUACUGGGCGUAAAGGGCGCGUAGGCGGCCAACUAAGUCAGACGUGAAAUCCCCAGGCUCAACCUGGGAACUGCGUCUGAUACUGGAUGGCUUGAGUUCGGGAGAGGGAAGUGGAAUUCCAGGUGUAGCGGUGAAAUUCGUAGAUAUUCGGAAGAACACCAGUGGCGAAGGCGGCUCACUGGACCGGCAUUGACGCUGAGGUGCGAAAGCGUGGGGAGCAAACAGG
This 253-nucleotide ribosomal RNA is filed under the name uncultured bacterium. RNAcentral describes it as "partial 16S ribosomal RNA". It matches the Rfam family "Bacterial small subunit ribosomal RNA", at positions 524 to 776 of the family's 1533-position model. The record is from RNAcentral.